UACGAAGGGUGCAAGCGUUACUCGGAAUUACUGGGCGUAAAGCGUGCGUAGGUGGUUUGUUAAGUCUGUUGUGAAAGCCCUUGGCUUAACCGAGGAAGUGCAUCCGAAACUGGCGAGCUAGAGUACGAAAGAGGAUCGCGGAAUUCCCGGUGUAGAGGUGAAAUUCGUAGAUAUCGGGAGGAACACCGGUGGCGAAGGCGGCGAUCUGGGUCGAUACUGACGCUGAGGUGCGAAAGCGUGGGGAGCAACAGG
RNAcentral lists this ribosomal RNA (252 nucleotides) under uncultured bacterium. Its description in RNAcentral is "partial 16S ribosomal RNA". It matches the Rfam family "Bacterial small subunit ribosomal RNA", at positions 524 to 775 of the family's 1533-position model. The record is from RNAcentral.